Molecule: long non-coding RNA, 202 nt
Organism: Arabidopsis thaliana (thale cress)
Lineage: Eukaryota; Viridiplantae; Streptophyta; Magnoliopsida; Brassicales; Brassicaceae
Product: other RNA
Exons: 1
Source: RefSeq
AAAGGCGAAGUUUCUGUGUUAUCUAGUUAUUUAUUAUCUUAAUUGUGCCUGUCGUCACCCUACUCUUGUUAGGAGAUUUGAUAUUAACCACUAAAAAAUUACUAAUCUUGUACAUAACAGCACGUUUCCCAGCGAAUAUAAGGUACUCCGUUUCGCACAGCAUAAGUCUUCUAUGCACGAUUUCUCCUCUUCCUGCACACUA